This is a long non-coding RNA of Oncorhynchus nerka (sockeye salmon), 10313 nucleotides long. RefSeq lists it as uncharacterized. The transcript is spliced from 3 exons. The record is from RefSeq and is a predicted model, not a curated record. Lineage: Eukaryota; Metazoa; Chordata; Actinopteri; Salmoniformes; Salmonidae.
GAAGACACUGACUCAUUGCUCACAUGGAGCACUCCAAACAUAAGACUAUGAAAAAAAUGUCAUAACUCAUAAAUGGUUAUGAAAUAAACCAAAACUUGUUUUUCAAGUUGUGAAUUCUGCAAAAAACAUUUCCACCCCGAAACUGAGAACAGUAAUAGUUGAGUCUAAAGAGUCUACCGUGCCGGAAGCAACUUCAGCAUACAUUUUCAGGACCCAGAAAGCUGUUGAUGUUGGUUGUUUAGUCAGCAGCCAGCUUCCUUUCGACAUGUCUAUCCAGAGCACCAAACACCAGUGAGCCAAGCCCUGCUGCUGCCCAAAGACAUCUACUCACUGCUGAAGGAACUGAGGUAUUUGAGGAUGGAGUCCACCCCUUGCGAAGAGCCCCACACUCUCUUCAGCGCCUCGCACUCACGUUCAUUGGCCUGCUCCAGGGCGGCCCGGUUUGUGUUUCGCACCAGUGCUUUGGACUCCCGCAGGACCUACAGUGCAACAAACAGAGCCCCCCCCCCCCACCCGGCAAAAAAGAAAGCGAAAGGAAUAUGACUUAUGGAUAUGGAUAUUGGCAUAGAUUUGUUUAACAUUUAACUCUGGGACAUGACACAAGAUUCCAUAACAUCCAGAUAUUGGUGACAUGAUCUCAAUUUAAUGUAUUGCUAAAAGCAUUAUAUUAAUUUAAAAACACACUCUUGGUUAGGGCCAGGAUGAUACCAGUAUCGCAAUACUAAUUUGUAUCAUGGCAAGGAAACAAAACAAAGCAUAUUUAACUUCUUUAGGUAUCCCGGGAGACUAAAAUAUAACUAUUCAAGCGAACACUACGGCUAGGAGAGUGUGUGUGUGUGUGUGUGUGUGCAGUGCAUUUGGAAACUAUUCAGACACCUUGUUACUUUAGCCUUAUUCUAAAAUCGAUUAAAUAAUAAAAAUCCUCAAUCUACACACAAAAUACCCCAUAAUGACAAAAGCAAAAAUAAAUGUAAACAGAAAUACCUUAAUUACAUAAGUAUUCAAACCCUUUGCUAUUAGAAUCCAAAUUGAGCUCAGGUGCAUCCAACUUCCUUUGAUCAUCCCGACAACUUGGAGUCCAUCUGUGGCCAAUUCAUUUGAUUGGACAUGAUUUAGAAAGACACCUGUCUAUAUAAGGUCCCACAGUUGACAGUGCAUGUCAGAGCAAAAACCAAGUCAUGAGGUCGAAGGAAUUGUCCUUCGAGACAGGAUUGUUGUCGAGGCACAGAUCUGGGGAAGGACACCAAAAAAUGUCUGCAGCAUUGAAGGUCCCCAAGAACACAUUCUUAAAUGGAAGUUUGGAACCUAAAGGCUCGUUCUAGAGCUGGCCGCACGGCCAAACUGAGCAAUUGGGAGAGAAGGGCCUUAGUCAGGGAGGUGACCUGAUGGUCACCGACAGAGCUCCAGAGUUUCCUCUUUUGAGAUGGGAGAACCUUCCAGAAGGACAACCAUCUCUGCAGCACUCCACCAAUCAGGCCUUUAUGGUAGAGUGGCCAGAUAGAAGCCAAUUCUCAGUAAAAGGCACGACAGACCGCUUGGAGCUUACCAAAAGGCACCUAAGACUCAAGACCAUGAGAAACAAGAUUCUCUGGUCUGAUGAAACCAAGAUUGAAUGCCAAGCAUCUGGAGGAAACCUGGCGGUGGCAGCAUCAUGCUGUGGGGAUGUUCUUCAACGGCAGGGACUGGGAGACGAGUCAGGAUCAAGGGAAAGAUGAAUGGAGCAAAGUACAAAAAUCCUUGAUGAAAACCUGCUCAGGUCCUCAGACUGGGGCAAAGAUUCGCUUUACAACAGGACAAACACCCUAAGCACACAGUCAAGACAACGCAGGAGUGGCUUCGGGACAAACCUCUGAGUCCGAGCCCGGACUUGAACCCGAUCUAACAUCUUUUGAGAAACCUAAAAAUAGCUGUGCGGCGACGAUCCCCAUCCAGCUUGAGAGAAUCAUGAGAGAAACUCCCCCAAUACAGGUGGCCAAGCUUAUAGCGUCAUACCCAAGAAGGCUUGAGGCUGUAAUCGCUGCCAAAGGUGCUUCAACAAAGUACAGGGUCUGAAGUAGUAAAGGGUCUGAAUACUUAUGUAAAUGUGAUAAUUUAAAAACAAAAACAAAACUUUAUUUGCAAAAAAAACUGCUUUUCAUUAUAGGGUAUUGUUUGUAGGUUGCAGGGAAUUUAAAAAAAUAUCAAUUUUAGAAUAAAACUAACGUAACAAUGUGUGGUCUGAAUUCUUUCCGAAGGCACUGUAAAUGAGUGUCGGUGGGAAGAUGUUUUUUGAUGAGACAAAAAAAGCAAGAGAACAAAAGACCAAAGUGAGGGAGAGGGGCAGGGUCGUACUGUGUGGAAAAGAGAUGCCACAAAAUAUAAAAACAAUUCAAAAUAAAAUGAAAAGGAUGACUUACAACUGAAUUACAAGUGACUAGCUCCCUAAUGCGAACCAUCACCUCCUGAGUGAAAGUCCCAGGCCACAGCACCUGGGACACGAGGCCUUUAGCGCAGGCCUCCUGGGCUGUCAGCUUCCGCCCACUCAGCAACAUCUCAUUGGCCUGGGAGAAGAGGGGGAGGGAGAGAGAAGACAAGAGUAGGGGAGAGGACGGGGUGAGGUUAAGCAGGAAAAGGUACUGGUAUGGUAAUAGUAUUAAUAGUUGUAUUUUUUAAAUAAAAAAAAAACAUUUAAAAAGGAGUGGGGCUGUCCCACUCCAUUCUUAUUUUUUGUAUUGGACAGGAUAUUCCCCAUCGCAGGAAAACCAGCCCAGUGAGUGCUACACUUAAAUAGUUCCCUGGACUACUCCCCCUCGGAAGAGGUUUUUCAGACAAUGCCGUAUGAACUCACCGAGGCCACGCCCAUGAUGCGAGGGAAGGUGAGGGAGGCGCAAGCGUCGGGUGUCUGUCCGUAGGUGGUAUAGGGCGUCUGAAACCAGGAUUUCUCGUUGGCCCAGACAACGUCACACAGCGGGAGGAUAGAGGCUCCGAGGCCCACCGCCGGUCCAUUCACCGCUACGAUGAUGGGCUUCUUGAAUUGAAUGAAUGUGUUCACGAAUGUCCUGAGGAUGGAGAUGACAGACUGUCUGCAUAACCGUCUUCUGUGGCAUCAUUACAAAGACUAAACUAAAUCAAAACAAAGUGGCGCACACUCCAUAUACAGUGUAAGUCAGAAGUUUACAUACAGCUUAACCAAACACAUUUAAACUCAAGUUUCACAAUUCCUGACAUUUAAUCCUAGUAAAAAUUCCCUGUCUUAGGUCAGUUAGGCUCACCACUUUAUUUUAAGAACGUGAAAUGUCAGAAUAAUAGGAGAGAAUGGUUUAUUUCAGCUUUUAUUUCUUUCAUUCACAUUCUGGGUCAGAAGAUUACAUACACUCAAUUAAUAUUUUGGUAGCAUUGCCAUUCAAUUGUUUAACUUGGGUCAAACGUUUCGGGUAGCCUUCCACAAGCUUCCCACAAUAAAUUGGGUGAAUUUUGGCCCAUUCCUCCUGACAGAGCUGGUGUAAGUAACUGAGUCAGGUUUGUAGGCCUCCUUGCUUGCACACACCUUUUCAGUUCUGCCCACAAAUUUUCUAUAGGAUUGAGGUCAGGGUUUUGUGAUGGCCACUCAAAUACCUUGACUUUGUUAUCCUUAAGCCAUUUGCCACAACUUUGGAAGUAUGAUUGGGGUCAUUGUCCAUAUGGAAACACAUUUGCGACCAAGCUUUUAAUUCCUGACUGAGGUCUUGAGAUGUUGCUUCAAUAUAUUCACAUAAUUUCAUCUAUUUUGUAAGUGCACCAGUCCCUCCUGCAGCAAAGCACCCCCAUAACAUGAUGCUGCCACCCCCGUGCUUCACGGUUGGGAUGGUGUUCUUUGGCUUGCAAGCCCCCCCUUUACCUCCAUACAUGACGAUGGUCAUUAUGGCCAAACUGUUUUGUUUCAUCAGACCAGAGGACAUUUCUACAAAAAGUACGAUCAUUGUCCCCAUGUGCAGUUGCAAACCGUAGUCUGGCUUUUUUAUGGCGGUUUUGGACCCGUGGCUUCUUCCUUGCUGAUAGAUGUCGAUAUAGGACUCAUUUUACUGUGGAUAUAGAUACUUUUGUACCCGUUUCCUCCAGCAUCUUCACAAGGUCCUUUGCGGUUGUUCUUUUCGUACUAAAGUAGUUCAUCUCUAGGAGACAGAACGCGUCUCCUUCCUGAGCGGUACGACGGCUGUGUGGUCCUAUGGUGUUUAUACGUGCGUACUAUUGUUUGUACAGAUGAACGUGGUACCUUCAGGCAUUUGGAAAUUGCUCCCAAGGGUGAACCAGUCUUGUGGAGGUCUACAAUUUUUUUCCCCUGAGGUCUUGGAUAUCUUUUGAUUUCCCCAUGAUGUCAACCAAAGAGGCACUGAGCUUGAAGGUAGGCCUUGAAAUACAUCCAUAGAUACACCUCCAAUUGACUCAAAUUAUGUCAAUUAGCCUAUCAGAAGAUUCUAAAGCCAUAAUUCUCUGGAAUUCUCCAAGCUGUUUAAAGGCACAGUCAACUUCUGACCCACUGGAAUUGUGAUACAUUGAAUUAUAAGUGAAAUAAUCUGUCUGUAAACAAUUGUUGGAAAAAUGACUUGUGUCAUGCACGAAGUAGAUGUCCUAACUGGCUUGCCAAAACUAUAGUUUGUUUUCAAGUCAUUUGUGGAGUGGUUGAAAAACAAGUUUUAAUGAUUCCAACCUAAGUGUAUGUAAACUCCCAACUUCAACUGUAUAAACUCACAGUAAUUUCAUUCGGCAUCACAAUGCCUUAUGUUUUUCAUUACAAAGACUGCCCCUACAACACACAGCUAACGUUCUACUCAUCCUUUGUUCCACCUGUUCAAAAUAACCGAUGAUUCGAGACAAUUGUCUACAAAUCUGUCACUUGCACCGAUCUGAAAGAACUGAAAUCAAUCAUUCCACCAUUUUGUUUUCUCCAAUCAGUGCAGAUGAUGUAAGAGGGACAAGGACAGGACACAUUUUUGGACAAUCGAGAAAGGGCCAAGGUGAGCCUUCAAACGUCAGAAAGGGACAGAAAGUUUUGUUUUCAUCAUUUCUUUUUUUUCUUUCUGAAAACAAUCCACAUACAAAAGUACACCCUUCUGACCUACCUAAUGGUCUCAGCCAUCUUGAUGCUCUCCUUCUUGCGGUCGUCGGUGAGCAGUCUAAUGAAGUAGAUGAAGUCCAGGCCGAAGCAGAAGAUGCUACCCACGGCGCUCAGCAGGACCAGCUUGCUGUCGUCUGCCGCCGCCGUGGCCAUGGCACUCUGCAUCUCCUUCAUCACCUGAGGCAGCCAUGAGGGAGACAAUUAUUAUAGGCCAAUUACCUAGACACAGAUGAAGCCUAGUCUGAGAUUAAGAAGCACUUUAGAUGGAGUUAAUAUUGGAAAUGCGUUUUAGUACAGUACUAGGCUUAAUCCAGGACACCAACCCAAUAUUUUUUAUAGGACCAGUAUUUGACUUUCGUUUGAUAUUUUGCAUACAUUUAUAUUUGACUACCAAUUGUUUGGAAAAGUUGGCAUAACUAAACGAUGAAGUACUACUAUUUUUGGCCUGUCAUGCAGUGUAACAAUUGUUUUGUUAGGGCAAAGACAAGACAGGCAUGACUCACAUCGGGGUUAAGUGAGUUGUUCUCCGAGGACUUGGUGGAGAGCAGGAUGUGGGUGAAGCCAUCCUGCUUCUUGACGACAAGGUCCCUAUAGCGGUAGGCACUCUCAGUCUGCCGGACGCUGAACCGAAGGCGCUUGUCGAAGACUGAGCGCUGCUCCUCGAAGCGCCGUUUCCCUGCCACCCCGGAGACUGCAGUGACUCCUGCCACUGCACUCUGUAGGCUAGCUGUCCCAUUGGCCGCCAGAGCCUCCAUGAGUGUUGAUGUACCUAGUGGAUAAAAAAAAUGGUGACAAAAUAUAAUGGUGACACAGCCUUUAACAUUGUUUAAAUAACCAGGUAAACUAAAUCUUUGGUACUGCCUGAAUGGUUUACUUAGGUUCUACUCAACAGCAGAUGGAACAGUCCACCAACUGACUUAAUUGACAUAACUGUGUACUCAUUCGUUUGUGGAGAAGGGGGAGAAACAACAUUGUAAAGAACUCUGUUUGCAUGGCAAUGUCCACAAUCACUCACCUCUGCGAUUGUGGUCUACUUAGACCAGAGCGAGAAGUUGUAGGCUACAUAUUUUUUUAAAUCCUCAAACUACUAACAUCUUAAUUCACCGAGACAUAGGUUUAGUAUACAUCACAACAACAGUUAUUGAAGUCUAUUGAAAAAGCCUAGAGGACGAUUACAUGCCAGCGGGAGCAGAAAAUAUUUUUGGCAUCUCAGAUUGUUCUGGCAAUUCUCAGAAACUUCAUUGGGAGGAAGGAUGUUACAUGCUUUUUACAUUCGUAUCAAACAAUUUUUUCUAUGAAAUCAUGAAGAAAGUGGCCAUUUUAGGCCCUUUCCAGACCUACAGUGUCUUCAGAAAACUAUUCACACCCCCGGGACUUCUUCCACAUUUUCUUGCGUUAGAGCCGGAAUUUUAAAUGGAAUCAAUUGACAUGUUUUCACUGGCCUACACACAAUACUCCAUAAUAUCAAAGUGGAAAUGUUUAAUUAAUUUGUAAAAUUUCCUAAAAAAGGAAAUGCUGAAAUGUCUUCAGUCAAUAAGUAUUCAAACCCUUUAAUGGCAACAAUACCCCAUUGUUGCCAUGACUUGCAAAUGUAUAUAAAUAAAAUGGAUUAAAAUGUCCCCCCCCCCCCCCAAUCUGCAAACAAUACCCCAUAAUGAAAAAGCAAUGUUUUUUACAAUUAAAAAUAUUGCUAUUUUGUUUUAAAAGUAUCACAUUUACAUAGGUAUUCAGACCCUUUACUCAGUACUUUUGAAGCACAUUUGUCAGUGAUUACAGCCUAGUCUUCUUGGCUAGUUUAGUUUAUUAAUUCAACCAUAAAAAAAAAUAUAUAUAUAUAUAUCAAAUUUCAAUUAUGAUCUUGUCUCAUCGCUGCAACUCUCCAAUGGGCUCGGGAGAGCUGAAGGUCGAGUCAUGACCCACCAAACCGCAGUCCUUAACACCACCGCCACAAGCAGUUGCUAGAGAGCAAUGAGCCAAAUAAAGCCCCCCCAAAGUCUAUUUUCAGGUCUCUCCAAAGAUGUUCGACCGGGUUCUAGUUCGGGCUCUGGCUGGACCACUCAAGGACAUUACGAUACUUGUUCCAAAGCCACUCCUUUGUCUUGGCUGUGUACUUAGGGUUGUUGUCCUGUUGGAAAGUGAACCUUCGCCCCGGUCUGAGGCCCUGAGCGCUCUGGGGCAGGUUUUCAUCAAGGAUCUCCCUGUGCUUUGCUCCGUUCAUCUUUCUCUCGAUCCUGACUAGUCUCCCAGUCCCUGCCAUUGAAAAACAUCCCCACAGCAUGAUGCUGCCACCAACAUGCGUCACUGUAGGGAUGGUAUUGGCCUGGUUUCCUCCAGACGUGACACUUGGCAUUCAGGCCAAAGAGUUAAAUUUUGGUUUCAUCAGACCAGAGAAUGUUUCUCAUGGCCUGAGAGUCCUUUAGGUGCCGUUUGGCAACUCCAAGCAGGCUGUGCCUUUUACUGAGGAGCAGCUUCCAUCUGGCCACUCUACCAUAAAGGCCUGAUUGGUGGAGUGCUGCAUAGAUCUGUAGUUCCCAAACUUUUUAUAGUUCCGUACCCCUUCAAACAUUCAACCUCCAGCUGCGUACCCACUCUAGCUCCAGGGUCAGCGCACUCUCAUAUUGUUUGUUUGCCAUCAUUGUAAGCCUGCCACACACACUAUACGAUACAUUAAUUAAACAUAAGAAGUUUGUCAUUUCCCACGAGUCGGGCUGUGAAUAAGAGCUCUUAUUGGACCAGGGCACAAAUAAUAAUUUUGCUCUUUAUUUAGUUAAUCUUACAUAAAACCUUAUUUUCUCAUCAAAUUGUGAAUGAGAAGAGUGUGCUUGAAAGGAUGCACAUACCACUGCAAUGUUGGGUUGUAUUGGAGUCUCUGUCUUAAAUAAUUUUCCACACAGUCUGUGCCUGGAUUUCGUUUUCAUGCUAGUCAGUGCCAAGAACCCACUAUCAUAUAGGUACAUGGUUGCAAAGGGCAUCAGUGUUUUAACAGCGAGAUUUGCCAAAGCAGGAAACUCAGAGCGCAGCCCAAUCCAGAAAUCUGGCAGUAAAUUCGGAUAAAAUUUUCACAGAACCGCUUGUUGCAAUUUUGAUGAGGCUCUCUUGUUCAGAUAUCGGUAACAGACAGCAAGAGCCUCUCGGUGGAUACUGCCGUGUACCCAAGUGGCGUCGGGAGCAACUGCUUGCACGCGCAUUACCACUCCACUAUGUCUCCCUGUCAUGGCUUUUGCACCAUCAAUACAGACACCAACACAUCUUGACCACCAGUCCAUUUGAUGUCACAAAGCUGUCCAGUAUUUAAAAAAUAUCCUUUCCUGUUGUCCAGUGGUUUGCAGAAGAGGAUGUCUUCCUUAAUUGACCCCCCAUGAACGUAACGGACAUAUACCAGGAACUGUGCCAGGACCGCCAUGUCUGUUGACUCUUCCAGCUGUAACGCAUAGAAUUCACUGGCUUGUAUGCAAUGCCGUAAUUGUUUCAAAACACCUCCUGCCAUGUCACUGAUGCGUCGUGAAACAGUGUUUGAUGAAGUCAUUGUCUGUAUAGUUUUUUGGGGCCUUUUCCCCAGCCAUAUAUGCGGCAUCAGGAAGAAUGAAGUCCUACACAAUAGUAAGGGGAUUGCCUGCCACUCGGUAGCUCACAAUAUAAGGCGCUUCUAGCCCCUUCUUAUUAAGAGUAUCUGUUGCUUUUAUACAUGUCUUACUACUCGAAAGUAAUCUUAAUUCUCGCUCAAAAAACUCCAGUGGCAUGUUUUGUUUCUAAAUGCUUGUGCAAGAGUGAAGGUUUCAUCGAGUUGUGAGAUAGUGUGUUAUAUGUGCAAAAGUACUGUGGCUGAGGAAAGGCACUACUCCCAAUAUAAGUGAACCCCAAAUCAAUGUAGUUCAUCAUAUUUGCAACUCUUCGAUGUUCCAACAUCCCUGUCUGUUGUUCGGUGCUUUCCCGGGUAAGGGGGCAGUAAGCUCUUCGGCUGCAUCCAUUUCACAACUGUCAGUGUCCAUGCUAGCUGGGCUAACAACAAAUGUAGAGUUACUGAUGCUAGCAUUGGAUGUGCUCAUGGAAGCAGAACAACUUGUGUCAGACAGGUGCAGUGCUGCUGGUCGUAGCAGUACUACCAGUAGAGCUGGUAUGUGUUUCUAUGGACAUGGGCCUUACAUUUUUUUUAACCAUUAGUUCAUUUUCGAGCAAAAGGAAUGAGCAGCAGCAACGUUGGCUACAUAUGGACCGUUAGUGGAAUUCCCGCAAGAGUAACGGUUAAUGUGACUGGAUGUUAAUUAUUUGACAUUGUGUUGUUAUCUCGCUGAACACUACAUGAUUACAUUUUUUGGUAGUGAAAUGAGGCUAAUCAGGCGAGAGAAAAAACAACUUGCCCUAUAGCCCCGUUGGAAAAUCUGGACUGUUUGAAAAUGUGAAUCACAUUUGUAUUUAGCGUAUCCCCGACGGCAUCGGGUUCUUGGUCACCUCCCUGACCAAGGCCCUUCUCCCCCGAUUGCUCAGUUUGGCCAGGCAGCCAGCUCUAGAAAGAGUCUUGGUUGCUCCAAACUUCUUCCAUUUAAGAAUGAUGGAGGCAAAUGUGUUCUUGGGGACCUUCAAUGCUGCAGACAUUUUUUGGUUAUUUUCGCCAUAUCUGUGCCUCGACGCAAUCCUCUACGGACCAUUCCUUCGACCUCAUUGCCUGGUUUUUACUCUGACGUGCACGGUCAACUGUGGGACCUUAUAUAGACAGUUGUGUGCCUUUCCAAAUCAUGUCCAAUCAAUUGAAUUUACCACAAGUGGACACCAAUCAAGUUGUACUAACAUCAAGGAGUAUUAAUGGAAACAGGAUGCACCUGAGCUCAAUUUCAAGUCGAAUAGCAGAGGGGCUGAAUACUUGUAUGUGAAUAUGGUAUUUGUUUAAAAAUGUUUAUACAUUUGCAAACAUUUCUAAAAACCUGUUAACGCUUUAUUAUUAUGGGGUAUUGUGUGUAGAUUGAGGGGGAUUUAAAAAAAAAAAAAGAUUUUUUUUUUUAGAAUAGGCUUUUAAUGUCACAAUAUGUGGAAAAGGUGAAGGGGUCUGAAUACUUUCCAAAUGCACUGUAGUUACUCCACAAUACUAACAAAUGACAGAGUGAAAAGAAGGAAGCCUGUACAGAAUAAAACAUAUUCCAAAGACAUGCAUCCUGUUUGUAAUAAGAAACUAAAGUAAAACUGCCAAUCUUUUGGAAAAUAAAUGAACUAUGUCCAGAAUAAAAAGCAUUAUGUUUGAACCAAA